Molecule: ribosomal RNA, 235 nt
Filed under: uncultured bacterium
Lineage: Bacteria
Description: partial 16S ribosomal RNA
Rfam family: Bacterial small subunit ribosomal RNA
Source: RNAcentral
UGGCGGACGGGUGAGUAAUGUCUGGGAAACUGCCCGAUGGAGGGGGAUAACUACUGGAAACGGUAGCUAAUACCGCAUAAUGUCUGCGGACCAAAGCGGGGGACCUCCGGGCCUCGCGCCAUCAGAUGAACCCAUAUGGGAUUAGCUAGUAGGUAAGGUAACGGCUUACCUAGGCGACGAUCCCUAGCUGGUCUGAGAGGAUGACCAGCCACACUGGAACUGAGACACGGCCCAG